Molecule: long non-coding RNA, 226 nt
Filed under: Ananas comosus (pineapple)
Lineage: Eukaryota; Viridiplantae; Streptophyta; Magnoliopsida; Poales; Bromeliaceae
Description: long non-coding RNA (ACOM_LNC016171)
Source: RNAcentral
UACAAAUUUUUACUGGACUAAAAAACUUUAUAAAAAAUCUAUUUGGCUAAAUAAUAAUAUGAAAAAAAUUGAAUGAAGAUGGUAAAUAAUUUACCGUAUUUUAUAAAUUAGUUAGCGAAAUAAAAUUUUGAAAAACUUAUUUAAUAAAUUAAAAAUUUUAAUAAAAUUAUUGUGAAAAAAAAAUGUUCAAGGGAAGGAGAGAACGAACGUGAGACUGAAAGGGACG